RNAcentral lists this unclassified non-coding RNA (228 nucleotides) under uncultured Pseudotomentella. RNAcentral's name for it is "sequence contains ITS2". The record is from RNAcentral. Lineage: Eukaryota; Fungi; Basidiomycota; Agaricomycetes; Thelephorales; Thelephoraceae.
AAAUUCUCAACUGCUUCAACUUUUUAUUAGGUUGGAGUGAAGUUGGAUGUGGAGGAUUAUUGCUGGCGUAAUGACUUUGGUUGUUGCUUGUUAGCUCCUCUUAAAUAAAUGAACUUUCUAGUAGAUCAUGGCAAAGUAACACUAAUGUGAUAAUUAUCUACAUUAGAUGUGAAAGUCCUUGAGCAGAAGGGAAAUCCUUCCUAUAGGAAAGGUUGAUGGUGUUGAUAA